GGGCCUUUAGCUCAGUUGGUAGAGCGCACGCUUCGCAUCGUCAGGACUGCGUGAGGUCGAGGGCUCGAUUCCCUCAAUGUCCA
Non-coding RNA from Irpex rosettiformis, 83 nucleotides. Lineage: Eukaryota; Fungi; Basidiomycota; Agaricomycetes; Polyporales; Irpicaceae. The record is from the annotation of a GenBank genome assembly.